GAUGGCCUUACCCGCGGCGCAUUAGCUAUUGGUGAGGUGCGAACCGCGACCUUAUGACCUGCACAAAUCUGUUCUCAGCAUGAACGGCUCACCAAGGCAACGAUGCGUAGCCGACCUGAGAGGGUGAUCGGCCACACUGGGACUGAGACACGGCCCAGACUCCUACGGGAGGCAGCAGUAGGGAAUCUUCCGCAAUGGACGAAAGUUCUGACGGAGCAACGCCGCGUGAGUGAUGAAGGUUUUCGGAUCGCUUAAAGCUCUGUUGUUAGGGAAGAACAAGUACCGUUCGAAUAGGGCGGUACCUUGACGGUACCUAACCAGAAAGCCACGGCUAACUACGUGCGCAGCCGCGGUAAUACGUAGGUGGCAAGUUGUCCGGAAUUAUUGGGCGUAAAGGGCUCGCAGGCGGUUUCUUAAGUCUUGGAAAGCCCCCGGCUCUUAACCGGGGAGGGUCAUUGGAAACUGGGGAACUUGAGUGCAGAAGAGGAGAGUGGAACCACGUGUAGCGGUGAAAUGCGUAGAGAUGUGGAGGAACACCAGUGGCGAAGGCGACUCUCUGGUCUUGUAACUGACGCUGAGGAGGAAAGCGUGGGGAGCGAACAGGAUUAGAUACCCUGGUAGUCCACGCCGUAAACGAUGAGUGCUAAGUGUUAGGGGGUUUCCGCCCCUUAGUGCUGCAGCUAACGCAUUAAGAACUCCGCCUGGGGAGUACGGUCGCAAGACUGAAACUCAAGGAAUUGACGGGGGCCCGCACAAGCGGUGGAGCAUGUGGUUUAAUUCGAAGCAACGCGAAGACUUACCAGGUCUUGACAUCCUCUGACAAUCCUAGAGAUAGACGUCCCCUUCGGGGGCAGAGUGACAGGUGGUGCAUGGUUGUCGUCAGCUCGUGUCGUCUAGAUGUUGGGUUAAGUCCCGCAACGAGCGCAACCCUUGAUCUUAGUUGCCAGCAUUCAGUUGGGCACUCUAAGGUGACUGCCGGUGACAAACCGGAGGAAGGUGGGGAUGACGUCAAAUCAUUAACCCCUAUGACCUGGGCUACACACGUGUACAAUGGAAGAACAAAGGGCAGGUUAAGCCAAUCC
This 1082-nucleotide ribosomal RNA is filed under the name Bacillus subtilis. RNAcentral's name for it is "bacterial SSU rRNA". It matches the Rfam family "Bacterial small subunit ribosomal RNA", at positions 220 to 1274 of the family's 1533-position model. Lineage: Bacteria; Bacillati; Bacillota; Bacilli; Caryophanales; Bacillaceae. The record is from RNAcentral.